Long non-coding RNA from Neofelis nebulosa (Clouded leopard), 2699 nucleotides. RefSeq lists it as uncharacterized. The record is from RefSeq and is a predicted model, not a curated record. The transcript has 6 exons. Lineage: Eukaryota; Metazoa; Chordata; Mammalia; Carnivora; Felidae.
ACUCUGAAUUUGCAUGUUAGACUUCUUCCUAGUGUGAUAGUAACUAGGAGUGUCGUGAAGUAAAUGGCUGGGAGGGUGGGCGGAGACAGUGAAUUACAAAACAUUAUUUGGGGUUUAUAAAGGGGUUAGGGCUGGAAAACACCAAGGAGGUGUUGUUACAGCCAAAAAUACUCCUGCUUAUGGUCUUCCUAGCACAGUUUAUUAUCUGCUAUUGGUUUUUAUUAGAUAAAUGUCCAAGUACAUUCAUAAGUUUCUUUAACAAAAAUUCAUUUGCCCAAAAUAUACUAGGAAGACAUGAGCAUGACUUUAAUCUUUUAUGAUUCAGAUGUCCAGCACUUUCUCAUAAUAAACUUUCAGUGAUAGAAAGCCAAAAACACAUUUUAGUGUCUUAUUUUAAAUAUAGCUUUAUUUUGCCUCCCGGGGUGUGUAAACAGGUUUUACAUUGAAAAGUAAAACCUUUCAUUUAACAUGCAAGCUACUCAGUUUUCUUUUUCAUAGAUAAGGUGUACCAGUAUGAUCUAUAUCGAAUUAAUUUCUAGAGCAAGCUAAAGGAGGGAUUUGUAUAUAGUACCAUAUGUACAUACAAUAGCAGAAUGAGGAAAUUGAGAAAACUUAGGUAGUGUGGUAAGUCAAUGCUUUUCUUCUUUUAGAAUGAAGUUUUCGUUUCUGCAUAAGGAUUCUUUGACAUCUUACGACCCAACUCUUUGCUAAAUAUUUGCCCCUUAAAAUAAUUUUUUUUUAUUGAGCAUACUUUGGCCCUCCAAAUUGACUAAUAUGUAUUUGGAUAAUUUUUACAUCUGUGUGUCUAUUAACUGCCUGCUAUCUUUUUGCAGGUAACUGUCCUGUACGUAAUUUUUUGGUCAGAGUGAUUACUCUUACUGCAUAAGAGUUUCCUAGAUAUUGUUGAUUAUGCCCUUUCUUUCCCUGUGAGGCCCUUCUUCUGGCAGGAGAAGUCAUGUGCUUUAAAGUUUGUAUAUUCAUCAUCCACACAUUUUUUUUUUUCUAAAUUGAAAAUACAUCCUGUUUGCAGCAAAUAUUACUUUGUGGUAAAAAUUUUAAAACAACAGUGAUAACUGGUACACGUUUGAUAAUUGAUAGUUUGUUUCCUUAGAAAUAAUAUUACCUGUGAUGAAGAGACUGACUCAGAAAAGCUGCUGCAAAUAAAGCUCUUGGUUAUAGAUUUAUACUAUGCUUAAACUUAGAGAUGGAAACCGUAGACCCUCAAAACUACAUCCUUUUUGGGGAUAUGUUAGUAUUUGCUGUGUUGAAGUAAGUGACAAGUUUAGGUCGGCUGUAUAAAUUACGUACUUUAAUGCCACGGAAAUGAAAAGUAAAGCAAUUAUCUUGCUUCCCCAUUAUUUUGUAUUUAAUAAAUUUGUCAACAUUGGUUGAACUUUUUAUAUUAUAUACUAAAAAGUGUUUUAAAUGCUACAUAUAUCUUUAUGGCUACCUUUUGAAUUAUUUUUUAUUUUCUGAACUAAUGAUCCUAUUUGAAUGCAGUAAUUUUAUCUGUAUCAAUCGUGUGCUCAUUUCUGUUUGUUUUUUUAAAUUGUUUUAUACUUCUAUUUGCUACUCUUCUGUUUUUCUUUUAAUUGAAAACAAUAGGAGCAAAUGGUUUGAUGUUGGAAUUUUAUAAAUUGUAGAAAUACUGAUUUGGCUUAAAAUGUUUUCUCUGAUUGUGUGGUUUUUAGUAAAAUGAACUUUCUUACUCUCUUCUUUCAACUUGGUAUUUUUUGACAAUGUUUUUUGGAUUUGAUGUAUAACUGUUUAACUUUACAUAACAUUUAUUGGGCCUUAUAUUGAUAAUUUGAAAAAAUUUUAUAUUAGUAAGAUAGGUAUAAUUUUACUAAUAUUUUCAAUCAUGGUGAUGAGAGGUUAAUUCCACUUACUUUAGUGGGGUAUAUGUUCAUGUAUACAACUGCAUGCACAUGUAUGGUUUUGUGUGUUUGUACAGGGUGUUAUUUUGUGGUACUUUUUGUAAUGAGAGUAUUUCUUCUGUUUUUUUUUUUUUUUUUUUCUCCUCAGUUUGUUUUAAUUAAAUUCUGUAAAAACCCAAAGUACCACCAUGUCCAUAAUUGUUUGAACAGCUUCAUUUGGUUAGUAGUAGCAGCUAUCUGUCUCAAUGUGAGAUUAUGUAGAAAUUGGAUGCCAAAAGAGAAAAUCUUAAGCUUUCUCUCUCCCUCUAGCCCCCUUCGCUGCCCCCCCCCCCUCACUUUCUCCCUCUUUCCCCCUUCUUUCUUCCCUCUCUCCUCCAGGCCUUUUUUUGGUUUCUCUUUUUCUGUUUUGGCAUUUCUAUAAAGUCUCAAAGUAGUUUCUUAAAGUUCUUGGAGGGGAUACUGACAUUAAUCCUCACUAAUGAAUACCUGAGACUGCUUAUCAAUAACAGCUGUAGUGCUGUGGCUUUUCUCCAUGGACGCAUGGUGGUCUUUGGAACAACGUUCUUCAAUUUUGACAGUUUCUUACGUUAAAGAUUACAUGUAUGGGUCUUCUUAAUUGUGUUGAAUCAAACGUGGCUGUGGACACUCAUCUUUAAAAUUGAGCUAACACUCAUCCUAAGGUUAUUGUCUUCCAGCAUUUUCAUAUGGAUGAACUUCUACUUCUCUGUUUUUGGGGAACCGAGGAGAAGAUUUAUGCCUAAGUGUUUUCUAAAGAGUUUGUUAAGUAUCAUCUGACUUCUCAAUAAAUUAUAGUUCUGAUGA